Molecule: ribosomal RNA, 253 nt
Filed under: uncultured bacterium
Lineage: Bacteria
Description: partial 16S ribosomal RNA
Rfam family: Bacterial small subunit ribosomal RNA
Source: RNAcentral
UACGUAGGGGGCAAGCGUUGUCCGGAUUUAUUGGGCGUAAAGAGCGUGUAAGCGGCCUGACAGGUCUGCUGUGAAAACUCGAGGCUCAACCUCGAGAUGUCGGCGGAAACCGUCUGGCUAGAGUCCGGAAGAGGAGAGUGGAAUUCCUGGUGUAGCGGUGAAAUGCGUAGAUAUCAGGAGGAACACCGGUGGUGUAGACGGCUUUCUGGACCGUAACUGACGCUGAAACACGAAAGCGUGGGUAGCAAACAGG